ACGGGGCAGUAAGGCAUGGGUAUCUACCUUUGGGUUCGGGAUAGCCAUCAGAGAUGGUGGGUAAUACCGGAUGAUGUCGUGAGACCAAAGAUUUAUCGCCCGGAGAGGGGCCCAUGUGAUAUUAGCUUGUUGGUGAGGUAACGGCUCACCAAGGCGAAGAUGUCUAGCGGGUGUGAGAGCACGACCCGCGCCACUCGCACUGAGACACUGGCGAGACACCUACGGGUGGCUGCAGUCGAGGAUCUUCGGCAAUGAGCGCAAGCUUGACCGAGCGACGCCGCGUGAGCGAUGAAGGCCUUCGGGUUGUAAAGCUCUUUAGUGGGGGAGAAAAGCCCGCAAGGGUGUGAUCUAUCCCAAAAAUAAGCACGGGCUAAGUUCGUGCCAGCAGCCGCGGUAAGACGAACCGUGCGAACGUUGUUCGGAAUCACUGGGCUUAAAGGGCGCGUAGGCGGGCUGACAAGUCUGGGGUGAAAUCCCACGGCUCAACCGUGGAACUGCCUUAGAUACUGUCGGCCUCGAGGAAGGUAGGGGCAUGCGGAACUAACGGU
RNAcentral lists this ribosomal RNA (548 nucleotides) under uncultured bacterium. RNAcentral describes it as "bacterial SSU rRNA". It matches the Rfam family "Bacterial small subunit ribosomal RNA", at positions 102 to 674 of the family's 1533-position model. The record is from RNAcentral.